This 485-nucleotide ribosomal RNA is filed under the name uncultured bacterium. RNAcentral describes it as "bacterial SSU rRNA". It matches the Rfam family "Bacterial small subunit ribosomal RNA", at positions 28 to 507 of the family's 1533-position model. The record is from RNAcentral.
GAUGAACGCUAGCGACAGGCCUAACACAUGCAAGUCGAGGGGCAGCACAAGGAGUAAUCUGAGGUGGCGACCGGCGCACGGGUGAGUAACACGUAUGCAACCUACCUGUAAGAGGGGAAUAACCCGGAGAAAUUCGGACUAAUACCGCAUAAUACUGAUUAUCUGCAUGGAUUGAUCAGUUAAACAUUUAUGGCUUACAGAUGGGCAUGCGUAUGAUUAGAUAGUUGGUAGGGUAACGGCCUACCAAGUCAACGAUCAUUAGGGGUUCUGAGAGGAAGGUCCCCCACACUGGUACUGAGACACGGACCAGACUCCUACGGGAGGCAGCAGUGAGGAAUAUUGGUCAAUGGGCGAGAGCCUGAACCAGCCAAGUCGCGUGAAGGAAGAAGGUUCUAUGGAUUGUAAACUUCUUUUGUAAGGGAAUAAAAAGAGUUACGUGUAACUUAUUGUAUGUACUUUACGAAUAAGGAUCGGCUAACUCCGUG